This 679-nucleotide ribosomal RNA is filed under the name uncultured bacterium. RNAcentral's name for it is "bacterial SSU rRNA". It matches the Rfam family "Bacterial small subunit ribosomal RNA", at positions 38 to 696 of the family's 1533-position model. The record is from RNAcentral.
GGCGGCGUGGAUAAGACAUGCAAGUCGAACGGGAUAACAUCUGUAGCAAUACAGGUGUUAUUUAGUGGCGAACGGGUGCGUAACACGUGGGGAAUCUGCCGAGAAGUGGGGGAUAGCUCGCCGAAAGGCAAAUUAAUACCGCAUAUGGUCAGUGAAGACUUCUUCACAACACCAAAGCCGGGGCAACCUGUCGCUUCUUGAUGACCCCGCGGCCUAUCAGCUAGUUGGUGAGGUAACGGCUCACCAAGGCUGUGACGGGUAGCUGGUCUGAAAGGACCACCAGUCACACUGGAACUGAGACACGGUCCACACACCUACGGGUGGCAGCAGUCAAUAUUUUUUCACAAUGGGGGCAACCCUGAUGGAGCGACGCCGCGUGAAGGAUGAAGGCUUUCGGGUUGUAAACUCCUGUCAUUUGAGAACAAGGUGCAUCGAUUAACUGUCGAUGCAUUGAUAGUAUCAGAAGAGGGAGAGACGGCUAUCUCUGUGCCAGCAGCCGCGGUAAUACAGAGGUCUCAAGCGUUGUUCUUAUUCAUUGGGCGUAGAGGGUGCGUAGGUGGCGGGAUAAGUCAGGUGUGAAAUUUCAGAGCUCAACUCCGAAACUGUAUUUGAUACUGCCUUGCUUGAGGACUGGAGAGGAGACUGGAAUUCACGGGUGUAGCAGUGAGAUGCGUAUAUA